This 478-nucleotide ribosomal RNA is filed under the name uncultured bacterium. Its description in RNAcentral is "partial 16S ribosomal RNA". It matches the Rfam family "Bacterial small subunit ribosomal RNA", at positions 28 to 507 of the family's 1533-position model. The record is from RNAcentral.
GAUGAACGCUGGCGGCGUGCUUAACACAUGCAAGUCGAACGAGAAGUGGAGACGGAAACCUUCGGGCGGAAGACUUUAUUUCGAGUGGCGGACGGGUGAGUAACGCGUGGGUAACCUGCCUCAUACAGGGGGAUAACAGUUGGAAACGACUGUUAAUACCGCAUAAGACCACAGCACCGCAUGGUGCGGGGGUAAAAACUCCGGUGGUAUGAGAUGGACCCGCGUUCGAUUAGCCAGUUGGCGGGGUAGCGGCCCACCAAAGCGACGAUCGAUAGCCGAUCUGAGAGGAUGACCGGCCACAUUGGGACUGAGACACGGCCCAAACUCCUACGGGAGGCAGCAGUGGGGAAUAUUGCACAAUGGGGGAAACCCUGAUGCAGCGACGCCGCGUGAGUGAAGAAGUAUUUCGGUAUGUAAAGCUCUAUCAGCAGGGAAGAAAAUGACGGUACCUGAGUAAGAAGCCCCGGCUAACUACGUG